RNAcentral lists this ribosomal RNA (516 nucleotides) under uncultured bacterium. RNAcentral describes it as "bacterial SSU rRNA". It matches the Rfam family "Bacterial small subunit ribosomal RNA", at positions 993 to 1509 of the family's 1533-position model. The record is from RNAcentral.
GAACUUAGCAGAGAUGCUUUGGUGCCUUCGGGAACUCUGAGACAGGUGCUGCAUGGCUGUCGUCAGCUCGUGUUGUGAAAUGUUGGGUUAAGUCCCGCAACGAGCGCAACCCUUAUCCUUUGUUGCCAGCGGUUCGGCCGGGAACUCAAAGGAGACUGCCGGUGAUAAACCGGAGGAAGGUGGGGAUGACGUCAAGUCAUCAUGGCCCUUACGGCCAGGGCUACACACGUGCUACAAUGGCGCAUACAAAGAGAAGCGACCUCGCGAGAGCAAGCGGACCUCAUAAAGUGCGUCGUAGUCCGGAUUGGAGUCUGCAACUCGACUCCAUGAAGUCGGAAUCGCUAGUAAUCGUAGAUCAGAAUGCUACGGUGAAUACGUUCCCGGGCCUUGUACACACCGCCCGUCACACCAUGGGAGUGGGUUGCAAAAGAAGUAGGUAGCUUAACCUUCGGGAGGGCGCUUACCACUUUGUGAUUCAUGACUGGGGUGAAGUCGUAACAAGGUAGGCGUAGCGAG